RNAcentral lists this ribosomal RNA (253 nucleotides) under uncultured bacterium. RNAcentral describes it as "partial 16S ribosomal RNA". It matches the Rfam family "Bacterial small subunit ribosomal RNA", at positions 524 to 776 of the family's 1533-position model. The record is from RNAcentral.
UACGGGGGGGGCAAGCGUUGUUCGGAAUUACUGGGCGUAAAGGGCUCGUAGGUGGCCAACUAAGUCAGACGUGAAAUCCCUCGGCUUAACCGGGGAACUGCGUCUGAUACUGGAUGGCUUGAGUUUGGGAGAGGGAUGCGGAAUUCCAGGUGUAGCGGUGAAAUGCGUAGAUAUCUGGAGGAAUACCGGUGGCGAAGGCGGCAUCCUGGACUAACACUGACGCUGAGGCGCGAAAGCUAGGGGAGCAAACGGG